CUCUCAUGAAGCCUAUAUUGGUAGGCACAUCUUAGAGUGUUGAUGAAUGCUGAAAGCUCUGAUGGAAAAAG
Molecule: small nucleolar RNA, 71 nt
Filed under: Carlito syrichta (Philippine tarsier)
Lineage: Eukaryota; Metazoa; Chordata; Mammalia; Primates; Tarsiidae
Description: Small nucleolar RNA SNORD74 (ENSTSYG00000021329.2)
Rfam family: Small nucleolar RNA SNORD74
About the family: Z18 also identified as U74 (SNORD74) belongs to the C/D class of snoRNA which contain the C (UGAUGA) and D (CUGA) box motifs.
Source: RNAcentral